This 1305-nucleotide unclassified non-coding RNA is filed under the name Hevea brasiliensis (rubber tree). Lineage: Eukaryota; Viridiplantae; Streptophyta; Magnoliopsida; Malpighiales; Euphorbiaceae. The record is from RNAcentral.
CUUUAGUUAAAAUCCUCGAAUACCAGCCCCUAUCGUGACUGGCCAGUUGGGAGCGUGCGCUACAUCAUUGUCCCAAUGGACAAAACAUAAAAGAAACGCUAGUAAAGGGCAAAAUGGGCCCAAAAGAGAGACACUCCGUCGCUGCCUUCGUCUACUACGCUGGGCCGAGCUUCUCUCUCUCUUGCUUUCCGAUGAAAACAGACUAAAUUGUAUAUAUGUACUUGUCCACGACUUUGAACUACUUGACAACCAUGGUAACUGUUAAGGACCCUCACUGACUGGGCCCUCUCAACACCCUGCCCUUCUUCUUCUUCUUCUCCUAUCAUCAACCAUUUUCUCACCAACCCACCUUCUUUUCUUAUUGUGGUUGUUGGGAUUUCAACUCUCUCUUUUUCUUUUCUUUUUUGUUUUCUCCCUUUGAUUUCUUCAUUAGUUUUUGUUGGGUUUUCAAGUUUUAUGGAUUUAAUUUUGGGUUUUAUUUCUACGGCUCUAAUAGCCUGAAGCUUGUGAUUGGACCUGGCGCGUAGGAAUCUUGAAGAUCCAAGCAUUUUCCUGUCCGGAAUUGAUUUUUCUGAUGGAUGCAGAUUCAGAAAGAACUUCACAAGAUGUGCCCCUCUUUGCUGCACGUGGCCAUGCAGAUGGUGGUUUAGUGAUUGAUCAUUCUAUCCACCAAGUAGCAUGUGUGCUGUGCAGAAGAAUUUUUGCACCUGACAAUGAUGAUCUUGAGACUGUCAGUAUAUGCGGGGACUGUAAAUUUUUGCUUCUCGAAGAUGUAGGGGACUCCACUCAGGAUUCUUUUAGGAGGAGGCCACACAGAGGAAGAAGAACUAGUUACAGCAGUUCUGAGUCAAUUGAAAAUCUUUUUUCACAACAGUUAUCACAUAUGAUUAAUUUGGCUAGGCAAAACCAGUCCAUUGUAUCUGGUCUUGACAAUCCAUCUGUAGAUGGAGAUGUUUCUGUUAGGCUGUUGUGGCACACAAGCUCCCAUACAACCCCAACCAGUUCUAUAAGAUGGCGGCGGGUUCUCUCAGAUACUGGAAGUGAGCGUCUUGAUAAUUGGGAUUCUCUUUAUAGCGAGAAUGAAACAACUCCCAGUGUCAAUUGGUCCAGGGUUUAUCUUGGUGAGAGUGAUGCCUUUUCUUUUAGCGCAUAUGGAGGGGACUCUGAUGUAGAUGUUGAUGGACAUAGUUUUGUGGAUAUUAUUGAACCAGAUGAGGGAAGCAAUUUUGACAGUGAUACUGACAUUGAUCCAAUGCAUGCUGGUCUCAACCAAUGGAACUCAGAUGACGAGGAAGAGGAAGAAGA